AACGAACGCUGGCGGCAUGCCUAACACAUGCCAGUCGAACGAGACCUUCGGGUCUAGUGGCGCACGGGUGCGUAACGCGUGGGAACCUGCCCUUAGGUUCGGAAUAACUCCCCGAAAGGGGUGCUAAUACCGGAUAAUGUCUUCGGACCAAAGAUUUAUCGCCUUUGGAUGGGCCCGCGUUGGAUUAGCUAGUUGGUAGGGUAAAAGCCUACCAAGGCGACGAUCCAUAGCUGGUCUGAGAGGAUGAUCAGCCACACUGGGACUGAGACACGGCCCAGACUCAGGGGGGAGGGAGGAGGGGAAAAUAGGCAAGAGGGGGCGACGGCGUGGUGCAGCAGUGGGGGGGGAGUGAUGACGGCAGUAGGGUUGUAAAGUGCUGUUCGCGGGGAUGCUAAGGGCAGUAGGGGGAAAAUAAGCGCCGGCGAAGCCGGUGACAGGGGCGGCGGUAAUACUCGGAAUAGCAAACGUCUGAAC
RNAcentral lists this ribosomal RNA (474 nucleotides) under uncultured bacterium. RNAcentral's name for it is "partial 16S ribosomal RNA". It matches the Rfam family "Bacterial small subunit ribosomal RNA", at positions 33 to 541 of the family's 1533-position model. The record is from RNAcentral.